GGAAAAGGCUGAAGAUCAGUGGCAGAGCAUCUGCUUUGGAAGCAGACUGUCCCAGUUUCAAUUCCUGGCACCUCCA
Molecule: non-coding RNA, 76 nt
Organism: Podarcis lilfordi (Lilford's wall lizard)
Lineage: Eukaryota; Metazoa; Chordata; Lepidosauria; Squamata; Lacertidae
Source: the annotation of a GenBank genome assembly